UACGUCGGGUGCGAGCGUUAAUCGGCAUUACUGGGCGUAAAGCGUGCGCAGGCGGUUUUUUCAGCCCGAUGUGAAAUCCCCGGGCUUAACCUGGGAACUGCAUUUGGAACUGGAAGACUAGAGUACGGCCGAGGGGGGUAGAAUUCCACGUGUAGCAGUGAAAUGCGUAGAUAUGUGGAGGAAUACCGAUGGCGAAGGCAGCCCCCUGGGUCGAUACUGACGCUCAUGCACGAAAGCGUGGGGAGCAAACAGG
RNAcentral lists this ribosomal RNA (253 nucleotides) under uncultured bacterium. RNAcentral's name for it is "partial 16S ribosomal RNA". It matches the Rfam family "Bacterial small subunit ribosomal RNA", at positions 524 to 776 of the family's 1533-position model. The record is from RNAcentral.